GACGAACGCUGGCGGCGUGCUUAACACAUGCAAGUCGAACGGAAAGGCCCUGCUUUUGUGGGGUGCUCGAGUGGCGAACGGGUGAGUAACACGUGAGUAACCUGCCCUUGACUUUGGGAUAACUUCAGGAAACUGGGGCUAAUACCGGAUAGGAGCUCCUGCUGCAUGGGGGGGGUUGGAAAGUUUCGGCGGUUGGGGAUGGACUCGCGGCUUAUCAGCUUGUUGGUGGGGUAGUGGCUUACCAAGGCUUUGACGGGUAGCCGGCCUGCGAGGGUGACCGGCCACCUUGGGACUGAGGUACGGCCCAGACUCCUACGGGAGGCAGCAGUGGGGAAUAUUGCACAAUGGGCGGAAGCCUGAUGCAGCAACGCCGCGUGCGGGAUGACGGCCUUCGGGUUGUAAACCGCUUUCGCCUGUGACGAAGCGUGAGUGACGGUAAUGGGUAAAGAAGCACCGGCUAACUACGUG
RNAcentral lists this ribosomal RNA (468 nucleotides) under uncultured bacterium. RNAcentral describes it as "partial 16S ribosomal RNA". It matches the Rfam family "Bacterial small subunit ribosomal RNA", at positions 28 to 507 of the family's 1533-position model. The record is from RNAcentral.